CCCGCGCCGCCAAACUUUCCGCAGACUUGCAGCGAACUCCGGCCCCGGCCGCGCACCCGGCCCCGGGGGAGGAGAGGGAGGAAGUGGGACUGUGUGCUCCCAGAGGCCAAAGCUGUGGCUCCAUGGCCUCAGGGUCAAGAAGAGGGAGGGGCCGCAAGGCUGCUGGCCCCAGCCAGGAUCCUGAAUGGCUUUUUAGCACGCUCCAAGCUCCACAUUUGGGAGCUACCAGAUGACAAACCUGACUGGCUGAAAGCUGGACUGGCCUUGGGUACCUCUAUCUUCUUGUGGAUCUAUCUCAUCAAACAUAAUGAAGAUGUUUUAGAAUAUAAAAGAAGAAAUGGGUUGGAAUAAACU
Physeter macrocephalus (sperm whale) is the source of this 354-nucleotide long non-coding RNA. RefSeq lists it as uncharacterized. NCBI's taxonomy places the organism in Eukaryota, Metazoa, Chordata, Mammalia, Artiodactyla, Physeteridae. The transcript is spliced from 3 exons. The record is from RefSeq and is a predicted model, not a curated record.